GCUUACCAUGCAGUCGAACGAUGAAGCCCAGCUUGCUGGGUGGAUUAGUGGCGAACGGGUGAGUAACACGUGAGUAACCUGCCCUUGACUCUAGGAUAAGCCCGGGAAACUGGGUCUAAUACUGGAUAGGAACGUCUACCGCAUGGUGGGUGUUGGAAAGAAUUUCGGUCAUGGAUGGACUCGCGGCCUAUCAGCUUGUUGGUGAGGUAAUGGCUCACCAAGGCGACGACGGGUAGCCGGCCUGAGAGGGUGACCGGCCACACUGGGACUGAGACACGGCCCAGACUCCUACGGGAGGCAGCAGUGGGGAAUAUUGCACAAUGGGCGAAAGCCUGAUGCAGCGACGCCGCGUGAGGGAUGACGGCCUUCGGGUUGUAAACCUCUUUCAGUAGGGAAGAAGCGAAAGUGACGGUACCUGCAGAAGAAGCACCGGCUAACUACGUGCCAGCAGCCGCGGUAAUACGUAGGGUGCGAGCGUUAUCCGGAAUUAUUGGGCGUAAAGAGCUCGUAGGCGGUUUGUCGCGUCUGUCGUGAAAGUCCGGGGCUUAACCCCGGAUCUGCGGUGGGUACGGGCAGACUAGAGUGCAGUAGGGGAGACUGGAAUUCCUGGUGUAGCGGUGGAAUGCGCAGAUAUCAGGAGGAACACCGAUGGCGAAGGCAGGUCUCUGGGCUGUAACUGACGCUGAGGAGCGAAAGCAUGGGGAGCGAACAGGAUUAGAUACCCUGGUAGUCCAUGCCGUAAACGUUGGGCACUAGGUGUGGGGAACAUUCCACGUUUUCCGCGCCGCAGCUAACGCAUUAAGUGCCCCGCCUGGGGAGUACGGCCGCAAGGCUAAAACUCAAAGGAAUUGACGGGGGCCCGCACAAGCGGCGGAGCAUGCGGAUUAAUUCGAUGCAACGCGAAGAACCUUACCAAGGCUUGACAUGUUCUCGAUCGCCGUAGAGAUACGGUUUCCUCUUUGGGGCGGGUUCACAGGUGGGUGCAUGGUUGUCGUCAGCUCGUGUCGUGAGAUGUUGGGUUUAGUCCCGCAACG
Molecule: ribosomal RNA, 1034 nt
Filed under: Micrococcus antarcticus
Lineage: Bacteria; Bacillati; Actinomycetota; Actinomycetes; Micrococcales; Micrococcaceae
Description: bacterial SSU rRNA
Rfam family: Bacterial small subunit ribosomal RNA
Source: RNAcentral